RNAcentral lists this ribosomal RNA (1334 nucleotides) under uncultured bacterium. RNAcentral's name for it is "bacterial SSU rRNA". It matches the Rfam family "Bacterial small subunit ribosomal RNA", at positions 28 to 1381 of the family's 1533-position model. The record is from RNAcentral.
AACGAACGCUGGCGGCGUGGAUAAGACAUGCAAGUCGAACGAGAGAAUUGCUAGCUUGCUAAUAAUUCUCUAGUGGCGCACGGGUGAGUAACACGUGAGUAACCUGCCCCCGAGAGCGGGAUAGCCCUGGGAAACUGGGAUUAAUACCGCAUAGUAUCGAAAGAUUAAAGCAGCAAUGCGCUUGGGGAUGGGCUCGCGGCCUAUUAGUUAGUUGGUGAGGUAACGGCUCACCAAGGCGAUGACGGGUAGCCGGUCUGAGAGGAUGUCCGGCCACACUGGAACUGAGACACGGUCCAGACACCUACGGGUGGCAGCAGUCGAGAAUCAUUCACAAUGGGGGAAACCCUGAUGGUGUGACGCCGCGUGGGGGAAUGAAGGUCUUCGGAUUGUAAACCCCUGUCAUGUGGGAGCAAAUUAAAAAGAUAGUACCACAAGAGGAAGAGACGGCUAACUCUGUGCCGGCAGCCGCGGUAAUACAGAGGUCUCAAGCGUUGUUCGGAAUCACUGGGCGUAAAGCGUGCGUAGGCUGUUUCGUAAGUCGUGUGUGAAAGGCGCGGGCUCAACCCGCGGACGGCACAUGAUACUGCGAGACUAGAGUAAUGGAGGGGGAACCGGAAUUCUCGGUGUAGCAGUGAAAUGCGUAGAUAUCGAGAGGAACACUCGUGGCGAAGGCGGGUUCCUGGACAUUAACUGACGCUGAGGCACGAAGGCCAGGGGAGCGAAAGGGAUUAGAUACCCCUGUAGUCCUGGCAGUAAACGGUGCACGCUUGGUGUGCGGGGAAUCGACCCCCUGCGUGCCGGAGCUAACGCGUUAAGCGUGCCGCCUGGGGAGUACGGUCGCAAGAUUAAAACUCAAAGAAAUUGACGGGGACCCGCACAAGCGGUGGAGUAUGUGGCUUAAUUCGAUGCAACGCGAAGAACCUUACCUGGGCUUGACAUGUAAUGAACAACAUGUGAAAGCAUGCGACUCUUCGGAGGCGUUACACAGGUGCUGCAUGGCCGUCGUCAGCUCGUGUCGUGAGAUGUUUGGUUAAGUCCAGCAACGAGCGCAACCCCUGUUGCCAGUUACCAGCACGUGAAGGUGGGGACUCUGGCGAGACUGCCCAGAUCAACUGGGAGGAAGGUGGGGACGACGUCAGGUCAGUAUGGCCCUUAUGCCCAGGGCUGCACACGUACUACAAUGCCCAGUACAGAGGGGGCCGAAGCCGCGAGGCGGAGGAAAUCCUGAAAACUGGGCCCAGUUCGGACUGUAGGCUGCAAACCCGCCUACACGAAAGCCGGAAUCGCUAGUAAUGGCGCCUCAGCUACGGCGCCGUAAAUACGCUCCCGGGUCU